This is a long non-coding RNA of Camelus dromedarius (Arabian camel), 958 nucleotides long. RefSeq lists it as uncharacterized. The record is from RefSeq and is a predicted model, not a curated record. The transcript has 3 exons. Lineage: Eukaryota; Metazoa; Chordata; Mammalia; Artiodactyla; Camelidae.
CAGCUGCAAGUCAAAGGCCUCUUUAACGAGGGAAGCCUAGCGGGGAGGCGGCUGUCACACCCCUUCUCGUCAUGCAGUCAUCCCCACAGGUAGUGAGGAUCAUCGUUCCUGUCCAGACUGAAUGAGCACAGAAAGAGGAACGCUGUGAAGACGUUAAAGCUGCCACUAAGGACCUCUAAGACCUUGGGGAAAUUAACUUCCUUAAGCCUCACCGUCUUCAUCUGUCAAGAGAGAAUAUGACUGACACCCCCAUCAGGCAGGUUAUGUACCUCCACAUGCCUCAAUUUACUCAUUAAGAAAAUGGAGUUGAUGUGAGGAUUAAAUGAAAUAACAUUUGUGAAGAUGCCCACUCCAGCCCUCGGUACACAGUGGAAGGAUUCCGGCCAAUCUGGGAGGACCAGUCUCAGCCUGACUCGGGCAGGGCCUGCAACAGUUAAUCCCCGAAUCUCUUCUCUCAUCAAGUCUGGACCGCAGGGCCACUGGCAACUGUCCAGGUGGAGGAUAAAUGUCAGAGCUUUCCAGAAACUCCCUCAAGAGCCCAUCCCUUGCCAAGACUGAUCCAGAAAGAGAAGGAAACAAAUGAAUACACUGAGCAUGGUUGGUGAAGACGAAUAAACAAAACUGGGCAUUUAUCCCAUGGGUUCAUUCAUUCCACAGUCACGGAUGGAAGUCCCACUCUGAGCCAGGCACUGAAUGCCGCACGGAUGUGGCCAUGAAUCUAACACAGAUCUGGUCAUUAAAAACAGUCGAUCGGGGAAGGGGGAGCCACGGGAAGGCAAUUUGGGGAGGGGGCAGAGCUGCACAGGGCACUGUGUGAGUAGAGGGGGAGGGUCUCUAGCAUGGCCCGGGGAAGGAGGGAGAGCCAGGAAUCUGGAAGGGAAAUACCUACGUGCUUCUGGCAGGCACCGUCUUGGGGGAGAACACAGAAGCUAAUGAAUGGAGAAACAGCAGCCCCCAU